GAACUUAACCGCUGCACCACCGGGCCGGCCCCUAAAAAUCUCCUGCUUAACCCUGGAAUACGACAUUUGGGUGAGAAUGGCCUGGCAUCUGGUGUCGCCUGACCAGCCUCAGCUGAAGCCGACUCUAGUUGUCACAAAGUCAAGAAUCUGUGCAAGUCUCAGGCAAUUCUUCUGCUCCAUGUGCAUUAACUCAGCAGUGUUUAUCUGGUGGCGGGGCUGGUCCGGAGGGUCCAGAUAGCUUCCUGCUUCACACGUCUAGGGCCUUGUGGAGAUGACUGGAAGGCCGGGCUCAGCUGGAAUUACAGACCACGAGGAGGUGAAUCACCGGAAGAAAACUCCCGAUGUGCAAAUGCGUGCAGCGUGAAAGUCAGAGCAAGUACUGCAGAUAACAAGGUGCUUUGGAGCAUCAAAUGAAAGAGAGCUUGCAUCCGUCUGGGAGAGUCUGAAGGCCUUCAUCUGGACUUUAAAGGGUAUGAAAGAGUUCCCAGGCCAAGUUGGGAUGGAAGGCAUCUUAGAGGAAAUAAAAAAGCAGUAGCAAAGGCACCAAUGUGGGGAAAUACGGGACCUGUUUGGAGAUGAAGGAGUAAAUAAAUUUGGAAUGAGGUAUAGUCACUAGUGAGAA
RNAcentral lists this long non-coding RNA (622 nucleotides) under Equus asinus (donkey). RNAcentral describes it as "lncRNA (ENSEASG00005038404.1)". Lineage: Eukaryota; Metazoa; Chordata; Mammalia; Perissodactyla; Equidae. The record is from RNAcentral.